RNAcentral lists this ribosomal RNA (1092 nucleotides) under Triticum aestivum (bread wheat). Its description in RNAcentral is "partial small subunit ribosomal RNA". The record is from RNAcentral. Lineage: Eukaryota; Viridiplantae; Streptophyta; Magnoliopsida; Poales; Poaceae.
AUGGAGCGCUCGGCGGCGGGCGCCUCGUACCAGCGCUUCCCGCGCGUGCGGAUCCGCGAGCUCAAGGACGAGUACGCCAAGUUCGAGCUCAAGGACACCGACGCGAGCAUGGCCAACGCCCUCCGCCGCGUCAUGAUCGCCGAGGUCCCCACCGUCGCCAUCGACCUCGUCGAGAUCGAGAGCAACUCCUCCGUCCUCAACGACGAGUUCCUCGCGCACCGCCUCGGCCUCAUCCCGCUCACCUCCUCCGCCGCCAUGUCCAUGCGCUUCUCCCGCGACUGCGACGCCUGCGACGGGGACGGCUCCUGCGAGUACUGCUCCGUCGAGUUCCACCUCGCCGCCCGCGCCACCGACUCCGGCCAGACGCUCGAGGUCACCUCCACCAAGGACCUCCGCUCCACCGACCCCAAGGUCUGCCCUGUCGACCAGCAAAGGGAGUACCAGCAGGCCCUCGGCAACGUCGACGCUUACGAGCCCGAUGCUGCCGGUGACCACAGGCUAUACAAGUGGACGAUGGGGAUGGUGGCAGCGGCUUACACGGGGAGAGGAAGAGGUCGAAGGAGAUGGAACCUUCCUGCAAGAAAUCGGUGGAAGGGCAUAUUAAUUGUAAAGCUGCGCCGUGGGCAAGAGCUGCGUCUUCGAGCAAUUGCCAGGAAGGGAAUUGGAAAGGACCAUGCCAAAUGGUCUCCAGCUGCUACUGUGACCUUCAUGUAUGAGCCUGACAUACGUAUUAACCAAGAACUCAUGGAGACACUUACACUUGAGGAAAAACAAAGCUGGGUGGAGAGCAGCCCUACAAAAGUAUUUGACAUUGAUCCUGUCACCCAACAGGUGACGAUUGUGGACCCAGAGGCCUACACAUAUGACGAUGAGGUGAUCAAGAAAGCAGAGGCCAUGGGGAAGCCAGGAUUGGUAGAGAUCAACGCCAAGGAGGACAGCUUUGUGUUCACUGUGGAGACAACGGGGGCCAUUACAGCCUAUGAGCUGAUUAUGAACGCUAUCACGGUCCUGAGGCAGAAGCUGGACGCCGUUCGCCUGCAAGACGAUGACGGCGAUCUGGGCGAGCUCGGCGCCCACCUUAUCGGAGGCUAA